CCUACGGGUGGCAGCAGUGAGGAAUAUUGGUCAAUGGACGAGAGUCUGAACCAGCCAAGUAGCGUGAAGGAUGACUGCCCUAUGGGUUGUAAACUUCUUUUGUCAGGGACGAAGAAAGUGACGGUACCUGACGAAUAAGCCACGGCUAACUACGUGCCAGCCGCCGCGGUAAUACGUAGGUGGCAAGCGUUAGCCGGAUUUACUGGGUGUAAGGGGCGUGUAGGCGGGACUGCAAGUCAGAUGUGAAAUUCCAGGGCUCAACCCUGGAACUGCAUUUGAUACUGUAGGUCUUGAGUGAUGGAGAGGCAGGCGGAAUGCCGUGUGUAGCGGUGAAAUGCGUAGAGAUACGGAGGAACACCAGUGGCGAAGGCGGCCUGCUGGACAUUAACUGACGCUGAGGCGCGAAAGCGUGGGGAGCAAACAGGAUUAGAUACCCCAGUAGUC
This 444-nucleotide ribosomal RNA is filed under the name uncultured bacterium. RNAcentral describes it as "partial 16S ribosomal RNA". It matches the Rfam family "Bacterial small subunit ribosomal RNA", at positions 338 to 795 of the family's 1533-position model. The record is from RNAcentral.